Molecule: non-coding RNA, 84 nt
Filed under: Bacillus sp. (in: firmicutes)
Lineage: Bacteria; Bacillati; Bacillota; Bacilli; Caryophanales; Bacillaceae
Also listed under: 1 other name
Description: Bacillus sp. c-di-GMP-II sequence
Rfam family: Cyclic di-GMP-II riboswitch aptamer
Source: RNAcentral
UCCUUUAAGGGAUGCUAUGAAGCAUAGUCUUUAUUUGGACACUUGGACUAUGUGGAGCAAGUAGUGUAACCGACCCUCUUAUUU